GACGAACGCUGGCGGUGUGCUUAACACAUGCAAGUCGAACGGUAAGGCCCUUUCGGGGGUACACGAGUGGCGAACGGGUGAGUAACACGUGAGUAACCUGCCCUCAUCUCUGGGAUAACAGUCGGAAACGGUUGCUAAUACUGGAUAUGAGCUUGCAAGGCAUCUUGUGGGUUGGAAAGAUUUUUUUGGUUGGGGAUGGACUCGCGGCCUAUCAGCUUGUUGGUGAGGUAGUGGCUCACCAAGGCUUCGACGGGUAGCCGGCCUGAGAGGGCGACCGGCCACAUUGGGACUGAGAUACGGCCCAAACUCCUACGGGAGGCAGCAGUGGGGAAUAUUGCACAAGGGACGGAAGUCUGAUGCAGCAACGCCGCGUGCGGGAGGACGGCCUUCGGGUUGUAAACCGCUUUCAAUUGUGACGAAGCUUUUUGUGACGGUAGCAGUAGAAGAAGCACCGGCUAACUACGUG
Molecule: ribosomal RNA, 466 nt
Filed under: uncultured bacterium
Lineage: Bacteria
Description: partial 16S ribosomal RNA
Rfam family: Bacterial small subunit ribosomal RNA
Source: RNAcentral